This 144-nucleotide ribosomal RNA is filed under the name Ledella ultima. Its description in RNAcentral is "partial small subunit ribosomal RNA". The record is from RNAcentral. Lineage: Eukaryota; Metazoa; Mollusca; Bivalvia; Nuculanida sp.; Nuculanidae.
UUUAAUUAUCAUAUAUAAAAGUGAAAUACGAAAAUAUAAAUUAAUUUUAGUUGGGGCAACUGGGAGGGAUAAAAAUCUUUUAUUAAAUCAUUUAUAAUAAUAUUUAUAUUUAUGAUCCAAAUUAGUUAAUUUUGAACUUAGAAU